Molecule: long non-coding RNA, 2602 nt
Organism: Malus domestica (apple)
Lineage: Eukaryota; Viridiplantae; Streptophyta; Magnoliopsida; Rosales; Rosaceae
Source: RefSeq, a predicted model, not a curated record
UUUCACCUCCAUUUAACCAUGGGACUCUGAACCAAUUUGACUCAAGUUUUCUGACAGCAAGCUUCACACUUUUCUUUAUUUGUCUUUAAAGGUCUCCAAGUUCCAAUGGGACUUCUAAUUUCAAUCGACCUUACUUUUCCUUUAUGUGAGUAGACUCCCACGUGAUGAACAUGACUAUUUCUUUGUUCCUGCUUUUUCCUGGAACGUCUUCGAAGAAUGGAGUAGCAGCAACGUGUCAAAUUCUUUGAGUCGUGUUCAACUUUUGCUGACAAGUUUAUGCAUAUUUGGUGAUCUCAUGAAGGACAGGUUUUUGAGGACAUAGUCUCCAUACUUCUUGUUCUCAGAGCCAAAAAUUAAUAAACUCCUAUAUGAAUAAAACAAAUGAAAAGGCCAUUGACUUUCUUCCUUUUUCAUUUAAUCUCCAUGUGGAGCAACAUUUCUAGUUUAUUUGGGGAGUAUUUUAUCCGUAGUAGCACUCCACCUUUUCUCUUCCUUGCUGGAUGCUUUGUCUUCUAACUUAAUCUUCUGUGAUCACAGAUAGCAUCUACAUCGUCUUCUUUUCCUAGUAACUUAAACAGCAGCCCGCACCAUUUUUUGGUGUUCUAUGCCAGCAAUACAUCCUUCCUUUCCAAGACAAUUUUUCCUUAACUUCAAGACAAUGACGGCGGUGGUCGGGUUGCUCCUUUGUAGAGUUUUAGUGGCAAGUGAACCGAGGCGCCACAAAUAAUGGAGACGGGUGUUCUACUUUGCUUUUGCUGCACCAUUUUCCUUCGUUGAAUUUGAUGCAAACUCUCCAAGCAUCUUCAGUUUCUCUUUAAUAAGCAGGGACCACUUCUUAUUCUUCCACGCCAAGCUGUUGCAAUCAUCGGGAGAGACCGUGACAACUGAUUUUGGAGGGCAUCAGUUGAAGGGUGUUGAUGACGGCGAAGGAUUGUGGAGAAGUCGAAGGUGUCAGCAACAUGGCAGCUUUGGUUGUUGGUCUCUUUCUACAAUGACGCGACUUCCUUUGGGUUCUUCUGGUUUUAUGCGACACAGCAUCAUUAAACCCAUCUCCUUCAAGCCGCAUGAUGCAUGGAUUUCUUCUGGAAGACCGCCACUAUGCAACAUUGCAUCAUCAAAUCUAUUUCCUUCAAGUUGCGUAGUGCACGGACUCCAUCUAGACCUUCGGGUUCUUUUGGUUUUAUGCAACACAGCAUCACCAAACCCAUCUUCUUUAAGCCGCAUAAUGCAUGGAUUUCUGGGAAGACCGCCACUAUGCAACAUUGCAUCAUCAAAUCUAUUUCCUUCAAGUUUCAUAGUGCACAGACUCCAUCUGGAAAAUCACCGGAGAUGUCGGUUGGAGACGUGGUACGAUUGCCAUUUCCGUUUGGGUUUUUGUCUAACAUCGACGGUUGCUAGCAUAAAUUGUUGUUGCCGACCAAGGUUUUUAACAACAACGUUUGCCUGCAAAAUAAAUUUACUAGAGAGAAAAUGAAGAGAAACAUAGUUUUGUACCUUCUGAUUGUUGCUUGUAAUUUGCUUCUCAAUCGCCGGUAAUGGAAUUACUUCAUCUUCUCUUCUACAGUACUUCGUUACUUCUUUCCUCUCAAUUUCUCUCACAAUUUGUGUAGAGUCUCUCCUCUCUGUUUCUGUUGUCCUCUUUGCUUUGGUUUGAUGCCUUUUUAUAGGCGAAAGGUGGACAUGGCAGUUAAAGCUAGUGGGAUGCUAUUUUCCUGGGGUGUGGAGAUGCUGAGAGAAAGCCAUCACUUGAGUGGAGAACGUGGGGGGUUUUUGGAGAGUUCUAGACACACAUGAUCUCUGUACUUGGUUGCCACAUAGAUAACAAAACUCCAUCAGACUUGUCAUAGUCCACGUACGUGCAAGUGUAGAAUAUUUUUUUAUUUUUUAUUUUUCUCUUAAGUCUCCCUGUUUUUAAUAAGACUUGCUAAAAUAUUUUGUUUGUGAAAAUAUAUAGCUCAACAGUUGCCCGCUCAAGCAUCGUGCGUGGAAAUGGCUUUGACAUGUGCGAGGCUUGAAAUUUUUUUCUCUUCUCUAGUUCCAUUUAUGUUUUGAUUUGACAGUGGUUUGACAUCCGAGUAGAUUUUUUUAGUCACUUGAGUUGCCCAGGAAUUCUAAGAACAUUAGUGUAUAGCAGUUUAUCCACAUGCAGUACCAUUGGUGGAAAAGAAGCAGAUGAGGUCGUUCGUGUUCUUCGUCAGCAGUAUGAUUCCGGAAGAGUUUCUGUCAAGCAUCGAGUGAGUGACCUUAAAGCUUCAAUUGAGUGAAAAAAAAGAAAUUGGAUGUAGAACUUCGUCAGUCCUGGAUUGACGCGAAUGAAGGGCUUCUCCCAGACGUUGGGCGUGCUAAAGCUUUGAACAAAUCUGCAGAAGAAAGAUUUUUGAACUCGAUUGCUUCCCUGCUCCACUUUUGCAGUAAACCGGAGUAGGGAUUCAUGUGGUUUUCCUUCUGUUUUACACUCCUGCUAUUUUGGGAUAUUUAUGUUGGCCUUUCCUCUUUUUUCGCAGACUCUUUUGAGCAAACUUGGUUGAUAAUAAUGGGAUUGAACCAUAACGUUUGAGAUUUAUUUGAAUUUUUUAUUUUAUUCAAACCAUAUUCCUUUACC